Molecule: unclassified non-coding RNA, 1089 nt
Filed under: Hevea brasiliensis (rubber tree)
Lineage: Eukaryota; Viridiplantae; Streptophyta; Magnoliopsida; Malpighiales; Euphorbiaceae
Source: RNAcentral
CCGCUUUGACCAUCUGAUCAUCAUUGUCUGGUUAAGCCACCUUUCCUUGGGAUUUGCACCGUGUUUCUAUCCAUGUAUUUGGGUCAUUACACAGCAGAAGUCACGAGUCUUUCUACCAAAGCUACAGAGAAAGAUGUCGAUGAUUUUUUCUCUCACUGUGGUGAAAUUGAACAAGUAGAGAUCAUCAGAUUGAGUGAAUAUGCUUCUAUAGCCUAUGUUACGUUCAAGGAUACUUAUGCACUGGAAACUGCUAUUUUACUCAGUGGAUCCACUAUACUAGAUCAAUGUGUUCAUAUAUCUCGCUUGGAAGCCCAUGUAGAUGAAGACGAUCCUUGGGAUAACUAUAUAGAUAUGGUGGAGAAUGGAAGCAGCUCUGCGGUCCAUACAAAUCAGUUUGUUUCAACUCCUGGAGAAGCUGUGACCAUGGCACAGCAGGUAGUUGAAACCAUGAUAGUGAAGGGAUAUCAACUAAGUAAGGAUGCGCUAACCAAAGCCAAAGCUUUUGAUGAGUCUUAUCAUGUGUCAUCUACUGCAGCAGCAAAGGUGGCAGAUCUCAGCAACAGAGUUGGGCUUACUGAUAAAAUUCGGUCUGGCAUGGAGACUGUUAAAUGCGUGGACGAGAAGUACCAUCUUUCUGAGCUUACCAUGUCUGCUGCAUCUUUUACAGGGAAAACAGCUGCAGCUGCUGCAACUGCUGUGGUUAGCAGUAGUUACUUCUCCAAGGGAGCUUUUUGGGUUUCAGAUGUUCUGCAUCGGGCUGCCAAGGUUGCUGCUGACUUGGGUAAUAAUGGUGUCAAAAAAGAAACAGCUCCGAUAGAAAUGAACCAAAUUGGUAAAUAGGGCUGACACAAUGUCUGCCCACAUGGAAUGAAUUUGUCCAAAGGUGUAAGCUUUCCAUGGAGACAUGAAUGUGAAUAUGAACAAUUUUAGCUAUAGUUGAAGCAGAAUGAGCAACAUGGUGUAUAACAGGAUCCAUACUUAUGGUAAUGUGUUGGUAUUUUGCAGUCAUUACCGUGGUUUAAUCAAAUUUGAUUUCCUCUACUCACGCGAGUACAAUGUAAGUAAUACGCUUGAUUGGAUUACAAGUUG